This 254-nucleotide ribosomal RNA is filed under the name uncultured bacterium. RNAcentral describes it as "partial 16S ribosomal RNA". It matches the Rfam family "Bacterial small subunit ribosomal RNA", at positions 524 to 776 of the family's 1533-position model. The record is from RNAcentral.
UACGUAGGGUGCAAGCGUUGUCCGGAAUUAUUGGGCGUAAAGAGCUCGUAGGCGGUCUGUCGCGUCGGCUGUGAAAACCCGAGGCUCAACCUCGGGCCUGCAGUCGAUACGGGCAAACUAGAGUACAGAAGGGGCAACUGGAAUUCUCGGUGUAGCGGUGAAAUGCGCAGAUAUCAGGAGGAACACCGGUGGCGAAGGCGGGUCUCUGGGCAGUAACUGACGCUGAGGAGCGAAAGCGUGGGGGAGCGAACAGG